Long non-coding RNA from Oncorhynchus keta (chum salmon), 199 nucleotides. RefSeq lists it as uncharacterized. The transcript has 3 exons. The record is from RefSeq and is a predicted model, not a curated record. NCBI's taxonomy places the organism in Eukaryota, Metazoa, Chordata, Actinopteri, Salmoniformes, Salmonidae.
GACCUGCUAUACACUUCUACCACAACAGGUAGGUAGAGACCUGCUAUACACUUCUACCACAACAGGUAGGUAGGUAGAGACCUGCUAUACACUUCUACCACAACAGGUAGGUGGAGACCUGCUAUACACUUCUACCACAACAGGUAGGUGGAGACCUGCUAUACACUUCUACCACAACAGGUAGGUAGGUAGAGACCUG